GCGGAGGAAAAGAAACCAACAGGGAUUGCCUCAGUAACGGCGAGUGAAGCGGCAAAAGCUCAAAUUUUAAAGCUGGCACCUUCGGUGUCCGCGUUGUAAUUUUGUGAGGCAUCUCCGGGUAGGGCGCCGGCCUAAGUUCCUUGGAACAGGACGUCAUAGAGGGUGAGAAUCCCGUGCUUGGCUGGCUGUCCCCGUCCAUGUGAGGUGUCUUCGACGAGUCGAGUUGUUUGGGAAUGCAGCUCAAAAUGGGUGGUAAAUUUCAUCUAAAGCUAAAUAUUGGUGGGAGACCGAUAGCGCACAAGUAGAGUGAUCGAAAGAUGAAAAGCACUUUGAAAAUAGAGUUAAAAAGUACGUGAAAUUGUUGAAAGGGAAGCGCUUGAGACCAGACUUCGGUGGGGGGUGAUCAGCUGUCCUUCUGGGCGGUGCACUUGCUCCCCUCCGGGCCAGCAUCGGUUGGGGCGGCGGGAUAAAGAUCCCGGGAAUGUGGCUCCUUUCGGGGAGUGUUAUAGCCCGGGUGAAUGCCGCCAGCUCCGACCGAGGACCGCGCCUUCGGGCUAGGAUGCUUGGCAUAAUGGUCUUCAGCGACCCGUCU
This 592-nucleotide ribosomal RNA is filed under the name Morchella prava. RNAcentral describes it as "eukaryotic LSU rRNA". It matches the Rfam family "Eukaryotic large subunit ribosomal RNA", at positions 50 to 654 of the family's 3401-position model. Lineage: Eukaryota; Fungi; Ascomycota; Pezizomycetes; Pezizales; Morchellaceae. The record is from RNAcentral.